RNAcentral lists this ribosomal RNA (253 nucleotides) under uncultured bacterium. RNAcentral's name for it is "partial 16S ribosomal RNA". It matches the Rfam family "Bacterial small subunit ribosomal RNA", at positions 524 to 776 of the family's 1533-position model. The record is from RNAcentral.
GACAGAGGAUGCAAGUGUUAUCCGGAAUGGUUGGGCGUAAAGCGUCUGUAGGUGGCUUUUCAAGUCCGUCGUCAAAUCCCAGGGCUCAACCCUGGACAUGUGGUGGAAACUACCACGCUGGAGUACGGUAGGGGCAGAGGGAAUUUCUGGUGGAGCGGUGAAAUGCAUUGAGAUCGGAAAGAACACCAACGGCGAAAGCACUCUGCUGGGCCGACACUGACACUGAGAGACGAAAGCUAGGGGAGCAAAUGGG